RNAcentral lists this ribosomal RNA (388 nucleotides) under Varzea altamazonica. RNAcentral describes it as "partial 12S ribosomal RNA". It matches the Rfam family "Bacterial small subunit ribosomal RNA", at positions 830 to 1384 of the family's 1533-position model. The record is from RNAcentral. Lineage: Eukaryota; Metazoa; Chordata; Lepidosauria; Squamata; Scincidae.
GCUUAGCCCUUAACAUAGACAGUAAAAACACAAUACUGUCCGCCAGAGAACUACAAGUGAAAAACUAGAAACUCCAAGGACUUGGCGGUGCCCCACACCAACCUAGAGGAGCCUGUCCUAUAAUCGAUAAUCCACGUUGAACCUUACCACCUCUAGCNAACUCNAGCCUAUAUACCGCCGUCGAAAGCUUACCUUGUGAAAGAGGCAAAGUAAGCAAAAUAGUCAAUAACUAAAACGUCAGGUCAAGGUGUAGCACAUGAGGCGGAAGAGAUGGGCUACAUUUUCUACCNCCAGAAAACACGAACAGCACAAUGAAACCUGUACUCAAAGGCGGAUUUAGUAGUAAGACAAAAAAGAAACUUUAUCUUAAACCCGCUCUGGGGCGCGC